This 1644-nucleotide ribosomal RNA is filed under the name Salmonella enterica subsp. enterica serovar Johannesburg. RNAcentral describes it as "partial 23S ribosomal RNA". It matches the Rfam family "Bacterial large subunit ribosomal RNA", at positions 580 to 2207 of the family's 2925-position model. The record is from RNAcentral. Lineage: Bacteria; Pseudomonadati; Pseudomonadota; Gammaproteobacteria; Enterobacterales; Enterobacteriaceae.
CACCCUUUGGGGUGUGACUGCGUACCUUUUGUAUAAUGGGUCAGCGACUUAUAUUCUGUAGCAAGGUUAACCGAAUAGGGGAGCCGGAGGGAAACCGAGUCUUAACCGGGCGUUAAGUUGCAGGGUAUAGACCCGAAACCCGGUGAUCUAGCCAUGGGCAGGUUGAAGGUUGGGUAACACUAACUGGAGGACCGAACCGACUAAUGUUGAAAAAUUAGCGGAUGACCUGUGGCUGGGGGUGAAAGGCCAAUCAAACCGGGAGAUAGCUGGUUCUCCCCGAAAGCUAUUUAGGUAGCGCCUCGUGAAUUCAUCUCCGGGGGUAGAGCACUGUUUCGGCUAGGGGGCCAUCCCGGCUUACCAACCCGAUGCAAACUGCGAAUACCGGAGAAUGUUAUCACGGGAGACACACGGCGGGUGCUAACGUCCGUCGUGAAGAGGGAAACAACCCAGACCGCCAGCUAAGGUCCCAAAGUCAUGGUUAAGUGGGAAACGAUGUGGGAAGGCCCAGACAGCCAGGAUGUUGGCUUAGAAGCAGCCAUCAUUUAAAGAAAGCGUAAUAGCUCACUGGUCGAGUCGGCCUGCGCGGAAGAUGUAACGGGGCUAAACCAUGCACCGAAGCUGCGGCAGCGACGCUGAUGCGUUGUUGGGUAGGGGAGCGUUCUGUAAGCCUGCGAAGGUGUGUCGUGAGGCAUGCUGGAGGUAUCAGAAGUGCGAAUGCUGACAUAAGUAACGAUAAAGCGGGUGAAAAGCCCGCUCGCCGGAAGACCAAGGGUUCCUGUCCAACGUUAAUCGGGGCAGGGUGAGUCGACCCCUAAGGCGAGGCCGAAAGGCGUAGUCGAUGGGAAACGGGUUAAUAUUCCCGUACUUGGUGUUACUGCGAAGGGGGGACGGAGAAGGCUAUGUUGGCCGGGCGACGGUUGUCCCGGUUUAAGCGUGUAGGUGUGUGUUCCAGGUAAAUCCGGUUCACUUUAACACUGAGGCGUGAUGACGAGGCACUACGGUGCUGAAGCAACAAAUGCCCUGCUUCCAGGAAAAGCCUCUAAGCAUCAGGUAACAUCAAAUCGUACCCCAAACCGACACAGGUGGUCAGGUAGAGAAUACCAAGGCGCUUGAGAGAACUCGGGUGAAGGAACUAGGCAAAAUGGUGCCGUAACUUCGGGAGAAGGCACGCUGACACGUAGGUGAAGUGAUUUACUCAUGGAGCUGAAGUCAGUCGAAGAUACCAGCUGGCUGCAACUGUUUAUUAAAAACACAGCACUGUGCAAACACGAAAGUGGACGUAUACGGUGUGACGCCUGCCCGGUGCCGGAAGGUUAAUUGAUGGGGUCAGCGCAAGCGAAGCUCCUGAUCGAAGCCCCGGUAAACGGCGGCCGUAACUAUAACGGUCCUAAGGUAGCGAAAUUCCUUGUCGGGUAAGUUCCGACCUGCACGAAUGGCGUAAUGAUGGCCAGGCUGUCUCCACCCGAGACUCAGUGAAAUUGAACUCGCUGUGAAGAUGCAGUGUACCCGCGGCAAGACGGAAAGACCCCGUGAACCUUUACUAUAGCUUGACACUGAACAUUGAGCCUUGAUGUGUAGGAUAGGUGGGAGGCUUUGAAGUGUGGACGCCAGUCUGCAUGGAGCCGGCCUUGAAAUACCACCCUU